GACGAACCGAGCGAACGUUGUUCGGAAUCACUGGGCUUAAAGGGCGCGUAGGCGGGUGCUCAAGUCCGUGGUGAAAUCCUCCGGCUCAACCGGAGAACUGCCUCGGAUACUGGGCGUCUCGAGUGUGGUAGGGGUAUGCGGAGCUAUCGGUGGAGCGGUGAAAUGCGUUGAUAUCGAUAGGAACUCCGGUGGCGAAGGCGGCAUACUGGACCACCACUGACGCUGAUGCGCGAAAGCCAGGGGAGCAAACGGG
Molecule: ribosomal RNA, 253 nt
Filed under: uncultured bacterium
Lineage: Bacteria
Description: partial 16S ribosomal RNA
Rfam family: Bacterial small subunit ribosomal RNA
Source: RNAcentral